CGCGAGCGGGGAGCAGAGUUGCCAUGGAAACGGGGCGUCAACACAAAAACCGUUACUGGCAAGCAGUAAUCUCCGUCUCUUGCUGUGGUUUACACUGUUUUAGAAACGGUUUAGUGUCUUCGGAAAAGUCCGUUAGCAUUUUAGCAGUUUUCAGGUAGGCUAACUCUGAUUGAGGUCUUGUUGAUGAAACUCUGGGCUUUUAAUCAAAUCUUCGUGUCUGUAUGGGAUAUUUUGAUGGCUCUGUGAAUGUUUUGCUGGUGAUUUGUCAGUAUGUUAUUGGAAAAGGCUGAUUUACUGAAUCGAUGACGUCACUUACAGUGAGAGUGUAAUCGGCUGAAAUCAAGUUCACAUGAGUUUUGAUAUUUCAUGAUAAACAGAUAUUAAUACAAAUUGUUCUGUGAUUUCAGGAGGACAGAAAGAAACUCUACAGAACAGAAGUGAAGCUCCAAGAUUUCAACAUUUCUGAAGGGAGAUACUGACUUAGAAAUACAGAUUGCUUGUUUUGUUCCUGGACUCUUCAGUGAUGAUGAGCAGAGUCUGAGUGAACCUGCUGUCAGACAGGUUGGCCUGAUUGACGAUGCCAUCAUCCAUCGCCAAUGGCUGAUAGACAUCACGAUGCUGCGCUGGCAAACAGCGUCAUCAGCUCCAGUAUCUCGCCCGUGCAUCUGUUGUCAUGCGACAGAGAAGUCACGUUCUAUAGACAGUUUCUAUAGACAGUUGUGAACGUGCUGACAGCUGGUUGCCCAGGCUAUGGAUUAAAGGUAAUACUGUUGGCCAGCAGAGCCCUGCUCACCCU
This is a long non-coding RNA of Carassius gibelio (silver crucian carp), 796 nucleotides long. RefSeq lists it as uncharacterized. The record is from RefSeq and is a predicted model, not a curated record. The transcript has 5 exons. NCBI's taxonomy places the organism in Eukaryota, Metazoa, Chordata, Actinopteri, Cypriniformes, Cyprinidae.